RNAcentral lists this long non-coding RNA (967 nucleotides) under Mytilus galloprovincialis (Mediterranean mussel). The record is from RNAcentral. Lineage: Eukaryota; Metazoa; Mollusca; Bivalvia; Mytilida; Mytilidae.
CAACAUUAAGUGUGUUUUUAUAUCAUCUUUUUAAAAGUUAUAUGUCACAGGAAAUACACUUACAUUUAAUGUGAUAAAAAGGACAAAAACUAUCGCGUAAUUCCUUUCUGUUACGUUCUGUCAUGUUACCUGAUCAAAAGUAACAGCAUAACCAUCAUCAGUAACAGGAAGGAUGUUCAAGACAAUUUCACUGAAGAAUCGAACAGUUAAUCUACUGUAUGCCAACCAUUUCAUUUAAUAUAAGUUAUCACCCCCAUAUCAAAUAAAUUUCAAAAUAAUAUACAGUAUAUUGAAUAAAAAAAUAAGUUUUUUGCUUUUGAUAACAGCAGAGAACAUUGUGCAAUUCUAGUAUAGAAGAUAGUAACAGAAAGGAAUUUAUUUUAGAAUUUUUCAUUACCUGGGCAGAUUUUUCAUCUUGCAAAUACAGUUUCAAAGGAUAAAUGACAUUGUUUGCUGUUAUCUUCCAAUUGUGACCAAUCUAAAAUGAUUUAUUUUUCUUAAACUUUAAAAUAAAGCAGAAAAAUCCUUUCUGUUACCAACUCUGUCCUGUUACCGUUGUCCUGUUACUCAAGAUUCUUUCAUGUUACCGACAUAUCUGACUAUAUUUAAGUAUAUUUCUAAACCUUUUGUAUUGCAAAUGCUAAAAUCAAUAAUUGGCAUUUGAUAAACUAUUGCAUGAUAUACUAGUAAACCACAAAUAGUGUCUUAAACUUAUUCCUUAUUCCCAUUAGAAACUUUUUAAAAUUGAUUCACUUUGGUAACAGGAAAGAACUGGAUUUUUUUUGUACCAUUUUUUUAAAUUGCCAUUGUUUCCUUAUUAAACAAGUAUUUGAAUUACAGACAACAGUUCCUAGAUCCCCAAUGUGUGUUCUUCGAUUUGUGCUAUUAAAAUACCAGGUCUAAAGAAUUUUUUUUGGUUUUUUCUUAUUGCCAAAAACUAGACUUUUUCAGAUAUUGUCUCAUAUAU